UACGUAGGGGGCAAGCGUUAUCCGGAUUCACUGGGUGUAAAGGGAGCGUAGACGGCCAUGCAAGCCUGGAGUGAAAGCCCGGGGCCCAACCCCGGGACUGCUCUGGGAACUGUGCGGCUGGAGUGCGGGAGGGGCAGGCGGAAUUCCUGGUGUAGCGGUGAAAUGCGUAGAUAUCAGGAGGAACACCGGCGGCGAAGGCGGCCUACUGGACCGCGACUGACGUUGAGGCUCGAAAGCGUGGGGAGCAAACAGG
Molecule: ribosomal RNA, 253 nt
Filed under: uncultured bacterium
Lineage: Bacteria
Description: partial 16S ribosomal RNA
Rfam family: Bacterial small subunit ribosomal RNA
Source: RNAcentral